Molecule: ribosomal RNA, 109 nt
Filed under: Sphenodon punctatus (tuatara)
Lineage: Eukaryota; Metazoa; Chordata; Lepidosauria; Sphenodontia; Sphenodontidae
Source: RNAcentral
GCCUACGGCCGUACUACCCUGAAUGCGUCUGAUCUCGGAAGCUAAGCAGGGUCAGGCCUGGUUAGUACGUGGAUGGGAGACUGCCUGGGAAUACCGGGUGCUGUAGGCU